CGUCUCCUGCCCAGUUCCAAUUGGCAGGCUGGCUGUUACAGGCACUGGGAUGGCAGAGCUGGAACUGAGGGCGAGAGGCGUGUUGCCCUCCGCAGGUUCUUAGAGCAUAUACUUUUUCUGCGAGUUUUAUUGCUUUUCCCGAAGGGGUCGAAUAGCUGUCCUAGUUAGUGGCGAGGUUUGGCGCCGUCGCUGGCUGUGCCUGGUGACGGCGUUUCACUCUUGUUCAGCUCUCGCUCAGUCUGGAUCGUGUGGCAGCGCACGGUUAUUCGCACAAAUGCAUGCAGUUCAUGUCCAGGGAGAGGUCUCUGAGUUUGCUGUCUCUCCCUGGAGAGUAACCUGUGUCAGGGAGCCUGGGCUUGUGUAUCGCUUGUGUGACAACACAGGUGGUGUUUGGGUACGUUUGAUCUCCUUGAGCCUUUGGGCGGAGUUGUGCGUGGUGGGAUAUUGAUCUGAGUGGAUUUUGUGAGGCAUAGUACAGAGCCCCUAGGAUGCGUGUGCCUGUAUUCCAGGGUGUCCAUUUUUGGACCUUUCUGGCAUUUCAGUCCUUGGGUGUGACUCUCUGUGUAGGCGUGUGCACUUGAGAUUGUGAGAGCUCUGAGUUUUUGAUUCUGGGCUCUGAGUUUCGAUGUCUCUGAGCUGCUUCAAGGAUGGGUUUGUCUAAAGGUGUAAACUAUCAGCUGCUUGGGGAUCUGUGCACAGGGUGCAGGAUUUCCAUUUGUCUGGGGACUUUAUCUAAAGGUUUUAUGAUGUUCUUGAGUUAUUAAAAGUUCUGUCUUUUCGUUAGGGUUUUCGUAUUAGAUUGGUAAGUGUCGAGUGGUUUGGGAGUCAGUCUCCAUAAUGUGAAGUAUCUGUGCAGCUCUCAUUUGUUUCUGCCUUGAAGACUUUGGUCUGUUUGGAGGGUCUUUGUCACAGUGUGUAUGGUUAUGGUCUCAGUUGUGUUUGAGGGUCUGAGACGAGUUGUGUGCUUUCUGUGCAGAGAUUCAGUGAGUUCUUUUUGGUGUCUCUGGGUAUCUAUCUGAGCUGCUCGGAGUCUUUGUGUCAGAAAUAAAACCUCUUAUGUUCUUGGCUGUGAGGUCUCUGUCCUGGAACUGAAGGUUUGGAAGCUGGCAAACAUGAUUCCGAGGCCUGGGACCUGCCUGACAUGCUGACUGUGUGUUGAGUGUAUCAGUUGUCUCCUGGAAUCUCAGUAUGUAUCAUAAUUAACACAGUGGGGCCAGUGCGCAUCGUGCAGGAUACCUGUGCAUAGUAGCGCCGUGUGCAAAAGGCCUGGCUUCAGACUAUCCUUCAGUAAGUGUUUUCUGAGCACCUGCCAUAUACCUGAGCACUAUUGGAGGAGUUUGUGACAGGACAGAACUGACCACGUCUCUACUUUCAUAGACGUGGUGGUCAGUAAAUAAAUCAAGGGUGGCAGGCACCAAGAAGAAAGAUAAUGCUAGAUCAGGGGAAAGGGUAUAUGUAGGUAUGAUGUUAUUAUUUUAGUCAAGGUAAUGAGGGAAAGUCUCCCUGAAAGAUGACAAGUAAGCAGAGAUCUGGAGGAAGUGAGGGAGCAGGCCGUGGGGUUAUCUAAGGAAAGAGCAUUCCAGGCAGAAGCGAAUGCAACUGCCCUGGCAUGGAAACCUACUUGGCGUGCUCCUGAAUGUCAAGGAGUCCUGUGAUGCACUGGGUUUGGCAUGUAGCACCCAUUGAAAGGGGUCUGGUUGCUGCUGUCUCUGUGUCUCCCACAACUUUUGAUCAUCCGCAUUUCACAGAUGAAGGACUGAAGGCUCCAACAUGUGCCCUGCACCUUCUCUCCUACCUAUCCCUGAAAUUAGGAGUGAAGCCUUCUGGUCCAUCAUGAGAGAGAGAGAGAGUGUGAGUGUCCCAGCUGCAGGGAUGUCACGCUGAAUGUCAGCCAAGCAGCAGAGAUCAGUUAUACUGUGGGAAUCGUGCCUCAUAACAUUGGUACUCUUGAUGGAGGGAAGGACUUAAAAGAAAAAGGAACUGGGGCAAAGGACAGAGGCAGCAAGGGAAAUUGGAGGACAGUGAGGGGAAAAAACAAAAAAGACUGGCUUCAUCACAUUGCCUGGGUUUGGCCCAGUUCACGUUGAUUGGCUGACGGUAUUAGGACAUAUUGACCUUUUCCUGUCCCUACCCUUUCUUUCCCGUCCCUUGUUUUGUGACUAAGCAAGUCAGUCCUAAAGCCAUUAGGUGUUGCCAGGCAAGGCAUGUGUAUGUGUAAAGGGACAUCCUUGCCUGGAGAGUCAGAGCCCAAGGUGGAAAGAAGGAUAUCCCUGGGGAUUGGGUGGGAAGGAGACUCACUGUUUCAUGGAUUCAAGCUUGAGCGAGAUGUGGAAGACCAGGGCAAGGGAUGGUUCUGCACAGACUUAGGAGGACAUUUUUGUGGCGGAAAGAUCAUUUAUACGCAUUGACAUUCAUCAGCUCGGCAAAUAGUUACAGAGUGGGAGCCAGAAUCCGGUGAAUGGCAGAGAUGUGCAGCACGUCAAAUUCUAGGCCGGAGACCGAGCCUUAGGAACCAACAGGCCAGAGAAUCCUGGAUGGGAGUUGGCUUAAACACAGUGGCCAAAUAACAAAUCUGAAUGUACCUGUAGCAAGCAACGAUACUGAACCAUUCAUUUAAAGACCUUCCCACAAAGGGAAGUCCUGGGCCUCCUGGUUUCUUCAGUGAAAUCUGUCAAAUGUUUAAAGAAGAAAUAGCACCCAUCCUUCACAGAUUCUUCCUGAAUAGACAGAACGGAGGAGGGAUCGUUUCCUAAUUCAUCCUAUAAGCCCAGUAUUACCCCAGUACCAAAGCCAGACUUGCCAUCACCAGAAAGCUGCAGACCCAUAUCUGUCAAAAAUAGCAAUGCAUACACCCUCAACCCCGUAUGUGCAAACCAAAUCGACAAACAUUUUGCAAAGGGCUGUGUAAGAUCUUUCCCAGGAUUGCAGUAUUGGACCAACACUCACCUUCAGUUUUGGAAAACAGCGUAUUGAUACAAUGAAGGACGGAAACCACCUGUCAUCUUGACAGACAAAGAAAGAAAAAGCAUUUGACACAGUUAAAGACCCAUUCAUGACAAAUAAGUAAAUAACUAAAUCAAUAAACAUUGUCAACCAUAUCAGGAUAGAAGGGAUCGUCGUGGCGGUGCUGAAGAACAUCCCCGAGAAACAUCCAGCUCUCGUCACAUCAAAGGAAUUCCGUCCAUCCACCUUCUGCCACCAGGACUGAGGUGCGUUCCCUCCCCUCCAUCUGCCUGAGUGUCUGGUAAGGAAGGGGACUUGGGGGCGUAACACACCACUGAGUCAUUGAAAUUGUUCUAAUAAUGGCUGUUAAUAAAUAUGUCAAAAUACCUCUCAGAAGGGAAGACACAUAAUUAUAAAAAAAAAUUUAAUGUCUUCAGUAGCAAACAUGGCUCUUCAGUUCAGGAUUCUAUUUAAAAGCAGGAAGGGGGAAGCAUCAUGUGAUUUGUGCUUCUCAACCUAAACUGUGCAUCAAAUCUCAACUGGAGAGGCUUUAGGAGAGCCGAUGCUGGCAGGACAGCCCCAGAGAGUCUGAAGUAGUACGUCUGGAAUGUGGCACUGGCGUGAGCAUUAUCUGAAAAAGUUCUCUUCUGAAAGCCGAGCUUGCAGCUGUGGAAAGAGAACCCAUCCUUACAGGAGGAAAUCGAAGAUCAAAAAUAUGCGACUCCUCUCUACAGCGAAAGCAGCUUUUCAUCAUCACUUGCUAUGCUUGACAGACAUCUUAGGCUGAGGAAAGGGACAAGUUGCCCAAAUUAAUACUAGUUUGAAAACUGACCUUGUGCUUGCUCUGCUGCAUGUUCCUGAAUCCAAAGUGUUACAGUUAACACCCUGCUGUUGUUAGUAAAACUCAGUAUCUUUUAGUUCUUUUCAGCAUCCCUUGUACCUAGUUAGUUGAAUACAUUUCUAAAACACUGUGGAGAUAACUUCAUUCGACAGAUCAGAAUAGUGCAUCAAAGAUUAAAGAUGGCUGAGAAUUGUA
Long non-coding RNA from Capra hircus (goat), 3979 nucleotides. RefSeq lists it as uncharacterized. Lineage: Eukaryota; Metazoa; Chordata; Mammalia; Artiodactyla; Bovidae. The record is from RefSeq and is a predicted model, not a curated record. The transcript is spliced from 2 exons.